AAAGAAGCCAGGAGACAACAUCAGAGGCAGGAGCUGUGCUGUAUUCAUCCUGAAAAGUUCUGGAGGAGGAAGCCACCUACGGGUCUCUGAGUGGGUGGUGGGGGGCAGAUGGAAGUGGAGGGGCAAGGGUAAAACCUUAAGGAACUGCCUAUCGGUGAGCACUCCUGGGAGAAUCAGAACACUGGGAGGAAAGAGGUCAAGGAGACAGCCUUCCUGCCACGUAGAUAGAACAUUCUGGUGGAUGGAAAUUUCCACGAAUGCUUCAGCCUUUCUGCUUGGCUUUACACAGAAAUGGCCAGAAGAUCACCUUUACCGAAAGCAUCUUGCAGUCAUCCUCCUUCCCAAGCCGCUUUCCAGUAAGCCUCACAAUGGAAGGUCCCCAACCUGGAGCAAGGAUACGGGCCAAGGGCUUUGAUCAACUCUGCCUUCCUGGGCCUCAGGGAGAGAGACGGGCUGCUUCCGGGUGCUCAUGACCUUUCCAGCAGUAAGCCAACAAUGUAUGACUCCUGCAUUGCCAUUGCUUGUUUGAGCUUUGAAUGAUACAUUGGCCCACGCU
Molecule: long non-coding RNA, 556 nt
Filed under: Pongo abelii (Sumatran orangutan)
Lineage: Eukaryota; Metazoa; Chordata; Mammalia; Primates; Hominidae
Description: lincRNA
Source: RNAcentral